Molecule: long non-coding RNA, 1197 nt
Organism: Gadus morhua (Atlantic cod)
Lineage: Eukaryota; Metazoa; Chordata; Actinopteri; Gadiformes; Gadidae
Exons: 2
Source: RefSeq, a predicted model, not a curated record
UCCGGAUUGGGCACUAUCACUACACUUGGGCCACACUGAGAUGAAGGCCACAAAGACUGCACGCUAUGAGAGACAGAACAAAAGAAAACGGCAAAGGACUGACAGUACACCUGCGAUGGAUGAGACAGUUAUUGAUGACCUUGUUCCACCAGUGGAGACACCAGCACCAGCAGAGGAUGGAGCUGACCAGACACUGCUGACAGAAUGUGACUUCUGUCAGCGUCAGCGUGCUGAAAUCAACCGGCUGCUGGAAGAGAACAGGACCCUGAAAUGUGAGCUUGGCCAGAGAAAAAUGUAUGAACAUUUCCUGAAGGAUGACAACGUCAAAGUGAAAUACUACACUGGACGUCCACACCUUGAAGUUGUCAUGGGUGUUGUAGCCUGUGUUGGACCGUACAUGACACAGAGUAGUAAAGUUCUGUCACCUUUUCAGAUGCUUUUCCUGACCCUCAUGCGCCUUAGACUAAACUUACCUUUACAACACAUUGCCCACCUCUUUUGUGUAGACAGAAAAACUGUUUCCAAAACGUUCAGUGACACCAUAAAUGUUCUGCAUGCGCGCACCAGCCCUUUGAUUAACUGGCCAGGGCGAGAUGCGUUGCAUGCAACUAUGCCCCAUCAGUUUGUGGAGGCCUUUGGGAAGCGUGUUGCUGUUAUUCUGGACUGUUUUGAAAUAUUCAUACAGACACCAUCAAAUCUUAAAGCUCAAGCUCAGUCAUAUUCCCACUACAAACACAACACAACUAUGAAAUUCCUUAUUGGUAUUACACCACAGGGCUCAAUUUCUUUCAUUUCCAAGGGAUGGGGGGGGACGCGUCAGUGAUAAGCACGUAACUGAUAACUGUGGGAUUCUGGACAAACUGUUACCUGGGGAUUUGGUGUUGGCUGACCGCGGCUUUGACAUACAGGACAGUGUAGGACUUAUGUGUGCCGAAGUAAAGAUCCCUGCUUUCACAAAAGGACGCUGUCAGCUGGAUGCAAGAGACGUGGAGAGCACAAGAAAAAUUGCCCACCUCCGAAUUCAUGUGGAAAGGGUGAUCGAACAAGUACACCAUUUUGUCAGCUAAAGUACCUAUUCACAUGGUGUUGCCAUGCAAGGAUGAAGACAUGACAUUUCUUGAUAAGAUUGUGUCUGUAUGUUGUGCUCUGACAAACAUGAGCCCUAGUGUUGUGCUGAAAUAAAUGUGCAUCUGGUUU